RNA transcript from Otolemur garnettii (small-eared galago), 4176 nucleotides. It is a transcript of the gene named vacuolar protein-sorting-associated protein 36 pseudogene, with no coding region annotated. The record is from RefSeq and is a predicted model, not a curated record. The transcript has a single exon. NCBI's taxonomy places the organism in Eukaryota, Metazoa, Chordata, Mammalia, Primates, Galagidae.
CCAGUGGCGGAGGCCGGCCCGGCGGCGGCCAUGGACCGCUUGUGUGGACCAGCGGCCUCUUGGAAAUCAACGAGACUCUAGUGAUCCAACAGCGCGGGGUGCGCAUCUACGACGGCGAGGAGAAGAUCAAAUUUGAUGCUGGGACACUCCUUCUUAGUACACAUCAUCUGAUUUGGAGAGAUCAUAAAAAUCAUGAGUGCUGCAUGGCCAUUCCUCUUUCCCAAAUUGUGUUCAUUGAAGAACAGGCAGCUGGAAUUGGGAAGAGUGCCAAAAUAGUGGUUCAUCUUCACACAGCUCCUCCUAACAAAGAACCUGGACCAUUCCAGAGGAGUAAGAACUCCUACAUCAAACUGUCUUUCAGAGAACAUGGUCAGAUUGAGUUUUAUAGGCGUUUAUCAGAGGAAAUGACACAGAGAAGAUGGGAGAAUGUACCAGUUUCCCAGUCAUUACAAACAAGUAGAGGACCCCAGCCAGGAAGAAUAAGAGCUGUAGGAAUUGUAGGUAUUGAAAGGAAACUGGAAGAAAAAAGAAAAGAAACAGACAAAAACAUUUCUGAGGCUUUUGAAGACCUCAGCAAGUUAAUGAUCAAGGCUAAAGAAAUGGUGGAAUUAUCAAAAUCAAUUGCUAAUAAAAUUAAAGAAAAACAAGGAGACAUCACAGAAGAUGAGACCAUCAGGUUUAAAUCCUACUUGCUGAGCAUGGGAAUAGCUAACCCAGUGACCAGGGAAACCUACGGCUCCGGCACACAGUACCACAUGCAGCUGGCCAAACAGCUGGCUGGGAUAUUGCAGGUGCCUUUACAGGAACGAGGGGGAAUCAUGUCACUGACGGAGGUAUACUGUUUAGUAAACCGCGCUCGAGGAAUGGAAUUGCUCUCACCAGAAGAUUUAGUAAAUGCGUGCAAAAUGCUGGAAGCACUGAAAUUACCUCUCAGGCUCCAAGUUUUUGACAGCGGUGUCAUGGUAAUCGAGCUGCAGUCCCACAAGGAAGAGGAAAUGGUGGCCUCGGCCCUGGAGACAGUUUCAGAAAAGGGAUCUCUAACAUCAGAAGAGUUUGCUAAGCUUGUGGGAAUGUCUGUCCUCCUGGCCAAAGAAAGGUUGCUGCUUGCAGAGAAGAUGGGACAUCUUUGCCGAGAUGACUCAGUGGAAGGCUUGCGUUUUUACCCAAAUUUAUUUAUGACACAGAGCUAAGGGUUUUCCAUUUGAAAUCAUUUUUGUCCAUGUGCUUGCAUUCAUGUAGAGGUUGUAUGACAUUGAACUAAGAGACAAACCCUGAUCACCCAGGAAUUUAUUGGAACUUCACAAUAGAAUGUAAAAAACUCUCUUCAUUUCUGCUUAAGUAGCAUGAUUCAGGAAGAUUAUUUAGGAUACACAUAGGAAAAUAAGAAAAAAUGAAUGCCAGUAUGGAUUUAAAAUCAUGUUAUAGUUGUGUAGAACCUUAAGAGUUUAACUUGAAAUAUGGUGAAUUUUAAUUUGAUCUUCAAAUCUCACCAUUCUAUAAAGAAGGGAAUUUAGUUUUGCAGAGAAGAGAAAGAAAGGUGGCCUGCUGGGACAGCUUGGCUUAUUAUUUAUAAGUGAAGUUAUUCUCUAGCCCUCCUGUGUCCAUUUUUUUUUUUUUUUCCAGUUUCUGGCCAGGGCUGUGUUUGAACCUGCCACCUCCAGCAUAUGGGGCCAGUGCCCUACUCCUUUGAGCUACAGGCGCCACCCCAUUUUGGGAUUUUUUUAAUGAGGGAAGUUAUACCCUCUAGGCGGGGCUGAAGAACAGCACAACAUUGGAACAGAGUAUGGAACUGCAGCGUGCCAUGUGAGGCUCCUGUUAGGGCUUUUAGAAACAGUCAUAGGCAUGUCUUCAGCAGACUAAGUAAAACACCUUUGUGAAAGGAGAGAAUUUUAUUGGACUUAAUAUAUAUUCUAACUAGUUUCUUUUAGUUUUUUUAAAUGAUGAUUUCAUGGCAUUUAAAGAAUGCAGCUAUGUCAUUUUGUGAAAAAAAUGCUGUGGAUUUUGAAACUCAAUUAGAAAGCUGUAUAAACAUGCCCAGAGUUAUGAUUACAAAAUUUGGAAGGUGAACAGCUCAGGAAUUCCCUAGACUGUUGUGCAGGUGGAAGGGCAGAGUGAACCUUUCAUAGCUUUACAGGAAGCUUCGUGUUCUUUUACCUCAAAGCCACAGACAGGAAAUAGAAAGUAGAAAACUAAUAGCUUCUUUUUCCUUCAAGGAGUUUCAACAACAAACUUUAAAAAAAUCUAUCAUAUUCCAGCAGUAUUUUUUUCUUUGCUCCGUAAUUAUAAAUUAUGUGGAGUAUUCUAGUAAAACGUUUUAUUGAGAGAAGAGAAGCUGGCUGAUGCUGCUUAGAGAUGGCAUGAAUUUUACAGAGGACUGCCUGACUUCCUAUCACUAUGCUGCCUGCAGUAUGCUGGCACUAUCUCAAACUCAGGGAUCCCACAGGACAGGAGACUCUCUUUGUGAGAUGGAGUGGGAAGUGGAAGGGUAAUGAUGGUUUUGCCUAAGCCUCCAGAAGGCAUAGGGAGAACCCCUCAGACCAGGAAAAGGGCUGCCCAGGGUCACAUCUGGGACCCGUAGGUUUCCCAAACCUGUCACUGACUCUUCAUUGUAGUGACAGAUCCCCUAAGUCCCCCAUUACCCAGCCUCAGGUUUAUCUGGAGGAUAAGUCAGCAUCUGGCCCCCAAGUCUUUUAGGAUCGGCUGGACCACUGUAUGCAUUUGUAUGUCUUGCCUCCUCUGGGCUGCACUUUCUGUUUCACCCUGCUCUGGCAAACUUGUGCACACAUACACAGGAAAUAUCUCAUCUGGCUAAGAUUUUUAACACAUUAAUUCCCAUGUUAGUUGUAUUUACCUUACACGAGUUUUGAGCCCAGGGCCUCAGGAAGCAUAUAUAACUCACAGGUCUUUGACCUAAUAAAAUGCUAAUUUAUUAAUGCUAAUAAAAUAAAAAUAAAAGGCCACAAGGGAAUUUUUUUUUCUAGUGUGGCAUUCAGUGUGUUAAAACUUACAAGGAUAAAUAUUAAUCUGUAUCGCCAGAUCAAAUGAGUUGCAAAUAAGAUUAUUGGAACUACUAGAUCUAGCUCUAAUGAUUUGGAUUCAUAUACUUAUUUACUUAAGUGUGACAACUGAUUAACAAAAGUGUAGCAAUCUGAAUUAUAUAAGGUGAACUACAGAGGAAGAAAAGUAACAUGAAUAUAUUUUACAAAUAUCAUAUUAAUUAAAAAGUAUGAUUGAUUUUAUUAUUUUUAAAGUGGGCAUUCUUCACUAUUUUCAGAUCUGUGUGUAUGUGUGUGUGUAUAUAUAUAUAUAUAAUUUUUUUUUGACAAAUAAUGUGUCCUUUUCCCUCUAACAUCGGAAUUAUUUUUAAAUACAAUGAAUUAGGCCCUAAGUGCAAAACUGUUCUGUCUCGGUGCUCACUGGAAUGAUUAUUCCUUUUGCUUUCCUAACUUUGCUCCUUAGGAGCAUGAAUUUUGUAGCUUUAUGGCAAUGGUAUAUUUUAGUCAUUUACUGUCAAGAAUAAAUUUUUUACUUUGAUACAAAGUAAAGAUUGUUUUCAGGGUUACAUGAUUGGUGUUAAUGUAUAUACAGUAAAAUUAGUACAAAAAUUUAAAAUGAUUUUUCUUAACUUGGUGUUCUUUUUAAGUAUUCUUUGAAAAAUAUAUAAAAGUGGUAAGGCUUUGAUCAUACUAAGCCAGUAUGUUAAAAGUUCUUUUAGAUUUCAUAAUCAAGACAGUGCUUGAUUAAGCUCUUAGUAUUUUAGUUGUGUUAAAAGGAUGGGAAAUGAGUCAUGAAUUGUUCUGGUAUUUAAAAAUUCUUGAUAUGAAUUCCACUGUUGAUCAACCAUGUGUAUUCGUAUGAAUGUACUUUCUCUUGUUCCCUGUUUUCAGACUAAUCUUAGAAGACGUCGAUUUAUCGUGUCAUUAUUCUCAUCCUCAAGUACUUAAAAUGGUUCUCUUUUGUCCAACAGUCUAAGAGUCUUCAUUGUGGUAGGGUGGAGUCACGACUCCUAAGGUGGUUAGGUUUUAAAGACAGUGCCUGAGAACAAAAUUGAGCACGCUCAAAAUGAUCCUUGAAAAUCUAAAUUACCAAUAUAAGUUUCUUUAUAGUCUUAAAAGUUUGAAUCCCUUGGGAAUGUACAUAGGUAUGAAUAUAUUAUGCAUAUCGGAAGUAUAAUGU